This 460-nucleotide ribosomal RNA is filed under the name uncultured bacterium. RNAcentral describes it as "partial 16S ribosomal RNA". It matches the Rfam family "Bacterial small subunit ribosomal RNA", at positions 338 to 795 of the family's 1533-position model. The record is from RNAcentral.
CCUACGGGUGGCUGCAGUGAGGAAUAUUGGUCAAUGGACGAGAGUCUGAACCAGCCAAGUCGCGUGAAGGAUGACUGCCCUAUGGGUUGUAAACUUCUUUUAUAUGGGAGUAAAAUGUUCCACGUGUGGGAUUAUGUAUGUACCAUAAGAAUAAGGAUCGGCUAACUCCGUGCCAGCAGCCGCGGUAAUACGGAGGAUUCGAGCGUUAUCCGGAUUUAUUGGGUUUAAAGGGAGCGUAGGUGGGUUGUUAAGUCAGUUGUUAAAGUUUGGGGCUCAAACGUAGCAUUGCAGUUGAAACUGGCAGUCUUGAGUACUGGAGAGGUAGGCGGAAUGCGUGGUGUAGCGGUGAAAUGCUUAGAUAUCACGAAGAACUCCGAUUGCGAAGGCAGCUUACUGGACUGCAACUGACGCUGAGGCUCGAAAGCGUGGGUAUCAAACAGGAUUAGAUACCCCAGUAGUC